Long non-coding RNA from Trifolium pratense (red clover), 1233 nucleotides. RefSeq lists it as uncharacterized. The transcript is spliced from 2 exons. The record is from RefSeq and is a predicted model, not a curated record. Lineage: Eukaryota; Viridiplantae; Streptophyta; Magnoliopsida; Fabales; Fabaceae.
CAUUUUCUUAACCAGUAGAAUUAUACAAUCAGAGACUUUUUAGUAACAGAAAUAAUGUAAAAUAGAAUAGAACCAAUGAGAACUCUUUAUUCAAAAUUUAGUCCCCACCCUGCCAUGUCCUUAUACCAACACCAAGACCUCAAGUCAUUUUCAUUUUUCUGAGAAACACAAGUCAGAGGCUUCAUUAAUUCCUCACACUCUUUUCACUCUUUUUUCUGAGGUGUUCCUUAGGUCUUGUUUGCUAAUUAAGGGUAGUAAGUCAAACUCAUCAAAUACUCCUUUUACCUCUCCCAAUCGUGCUCUGUUCUUUCUUUCUCUAAGAAUCAAUUCUUUUACUUCAUAAAUUUCAGAUGCAAGCACGUACAUAAUUAAGUCCCUCACACCUCAAGCUUCAAGGUUGAAGAUGGAUGAAUAUUGAGUUGAUGAAGAUGAAGAUAGAUAAAAAUUGGGUUGAAGAGAUGAAUGAAACAAUUUUUUUUCUCAUUUUUGUUUUAGUCCCUAACAAAAUUAAUUAAAAUAAUUUAUUUAUGAUGAUUCAUCAAAACCUUGCCUAGUCAGGCUCUCUUGAACACGGUGUCAGCCAAACCAUAUGUCACAGUCUAAUAUAAUGACAAGAUUAAUGAGGGACGAAAAUCAAUGGGUUUAAAUUUUACAGGAUAAAACAGACGUUUUUUUUCUUCAAGGACUAGAACUUAAAAAAUUCGCUAAUAUUUGAAGGAUGAAAAACACAUUUUGCACUUUCUAUUUUUUGCCCCUAUCUGUCAUGAAAUGCUAUAGAAAAAUAAUAAUAUAAUGUUUCCCUAUUGCUAUUGAGCUAGCUAAAUAGGCAAAUUGAUUAACAACAACACAUUUUAUAAUUAUAAUUAUUAAUUAUAAAAUGGUUUAUUGAAGAUCUAUAAGUGCCAAAAAUAUUUAUUUAAACAAAUAAACAAAACUCAGAACUUUUACAACAUAAACUGAUCAAUAAAUUGCUAUCUAUAGCAAGCUUUGUAAAAAAAAUUAUGGCUGAAAAUAUUAAGUUUGUUUAUUUAACAUUCUUUUUUAUUUCCUUGUUUCUUGUUGUAACUGACGUUAGUGGUAAACCAUUUCGUAUCCUUUCAAACUUUCUUUGAUUAUCUUAUACAAAAUAUUUGAACCCUUAUAGUAAUAUUUGUUUCAUAUUGUUUUUUUGUAUCACAGCAACGUAUAGAUUUUGCACGGAGGAUCAUGAAUGCUUUUAUGUUGUUUGUUUAA